This 406-nucleotide ribosomal RNA is filed under the name Cardinium endosymbiont of Bemisia tabaci. RNAcentral's name for it is "bacterial SSU rRNA". It matches the Rfam family "Bacterial small subunit ribosomal RNA", at positions 234 to 637 of the family's 1533-position model. Lineage: Bacteria; Pseudomonadati; Bacteroidota; Cytophagia; Cytophagales; Amoebophilaceae. RNAcentral also lists the same sequence under 1 other name. The record is from RNAcentral.
CGUCCUAUUAGCUAGUUGGUGAGGUAAUGGCUCACCAAGGCUACGAUGGGUAGGGGUUCUUAGUGGAAGGUCCCCCACACUGGCACUGAGAUACGGGCCAGACUCCUACGGGAGGCAGCAGUAGGGAAUAUUGGUCAAUGGGCGCAAGCCUGAACCAGCCAUGCCGCGUGCAGGGUGAAGGCUCUCUGAGUUGUAAACUGCUUUUGUACAGGAGCAAAAAAAUCCCUGCGGGGGUUCUUGAGAGUACUGUAAGAAUAAGCACCGGCUAAUUCCGUGCCAGCAGCCGCGGUAAUACGGGAGGUGCAAGCGUUAUCCGGUUUUAUUGGGUUUAAAGGGUGCGUAGGCGGCUUAUUAAGUCAGUUGUGAAAUCCUAGUGCUUAACGCUAGAACUGCGAUUGAUACUAUU